CAUGUUGCAUACACAUGUGCGUAUAGGCAUGUGUAUAUGCAUUCAUAUACAUACACACACACACACACGCACGCGCCUGCACACA
RNAcentral lists this microRNA precursor (85 nucleotides) under Otolemur garnettii (small-eared galago). Its description in RNAcentral is "miRNA (ENSOGAG00000034233.1)". The record is from RNAcentral. Lineage: Eukaryota; Metazoa; Chordata; Mammalia; Primates; Galagidae.